GGGUCUAUCCAUUGGUCGGGCUUUACGGUCCGUACUGGUUCGAUGGGUUCCUACCUUCUGAAUAACCGGCAUGCCAUUCAGUUGGUGCGCCGGGGAAGCAGAGCUAUUACCUUGAAAAAAUUAGAGUGCUUAAAGCAGGCUAUUGCUUGAAUAGAUUAGCAUGGAAUAAUAAAAUAGGACGGCAUGGUUCUAUUUUGUUGGUCUCUAGGAUCACCGUA
RNAcentral lists this ribosomal RNA (218 nucleotides) under Glomeromycotina sp. Its description in RNAcentral is "partial small subunit ribosomal RNA". The stretch from base 93 to 218 matches the Rfam family "Eukaryotic small subunit ribosomal RNA", at positions 738 to 864 of the family's 1831-position model. The record is from RNAcentral. Lineage: Eukaryota; Fungi; Glomeromycota.